This 71-nucleotide transfer RNA is filed under the name Planctomycetaceae bacterium. RNAcentral's name for it is "tRNA-Gln". It matches the Rfam family "tRNA". From Rfam's summary of the family: Transfer RNA (tRNA) molecules are approximately 80 nucleotides in length. Their secondary structure includes four short double-helical elements and three loops (D, anti-codon, and T loops). Lineage: Bacteria; Pseudomonadati; Planctomycetota; Planctomycetia; Planctomycetales; Planctomycetaceae. The record is from RNAcentral.
UGCCUGGUAGUGUAACGGUAGCACGAGUGACUCUGACUCACUUAGUCAUGGUUCGAAUCCAUGCCGGGCAA